Molecule: ribosomal RNA, 442 nt
Filed under: uncultured bacterium
Lineage: Bacteria
Description: partial 16S ribosomal RNA
Rfam family: Bacterial small subunit ribosomal RNA
Source: RNAcentral
CCUACGGGAGGCAGCAGUGGGGAAUAUUGGGCAAUGGGCGCAAGCCUGACCCAGCAACGCCGCGUGAAGGAAGAAGGCUUUCGGGUUGUAAACUUCUUUUGACAGGGAAGAGCAGAAGACGGUACCUGUCGAAUAAGCCACGGCUAACUACGUGCCAGCAGCCGCGGUAAUACGUAGGUGGCAAGCGUUGUCCGGAUUUACUGGGGGUAAAGGGCGUGUAGCCGGGCUGACAAGUCAGAUGUGAAAUCCGGGGGCUCAACCCCCGAACUGCAUUUGAAACUGUUGGUCUUGAGUAUCGGAGAGGCAGGCGGAAUUCCUGGUGUAGCGGUGAAAUGCGUAGAUAUUAGGAGGAACACCAGUGGCGAAGGCGGCCUGCUGGACGACAACUGACGGUGAGGCGCGAAAGCGUGGGGAGCAAACAGGAUUAGAUACCCGGGUAGUC